CUUUCUCGCAGACCCCAUUUUGCUAAAAUGAAAGGACCUCUCUGUCUCUCACAUUUUUCUCUCCUUUCCUCAAUUUAGCUCUGCUCUCUCUAGAAAGUCUGAAAAUGCUUUUACUCUCUCCAUGUCAAAGCAAGUCCUUCUUCCUCCCUUUGCAGUUUCCUCGCAGAUUGAUGCAUCCGUAGCCUUCCAUAACCCAACAACAACGCACCUCCGUGAGUACCCCGCCGUGAUGGAAAAUCGGAAAAAACGGAAACCCAAAGUGUGGAGAGCCCUAAUGGUUUCAAAUCCGAGACA
This is a non-coding RNA of Malus domestica (apple), 294 nucleotides long. Lineage: Eukaryota; Viridiplantae; Streptophyta; Magnoliopsida; Rosales; Rosaceae. The record is from RefSeq and is a predicted model, not a curated record.